Molecule: ribosomal RNA, 2827 nt
Filed under: Salmonella enterica subsp. enterica serovar Poona
Lineage: Bacteria; Pseudomonadati; Pseudomonadota; Gammaproteobacteria; Enterobacterales; Enterobacteriaceae
Description: partial 23S ribosomal RNA
Rfam family: Bacterial large subunit ribosomal RNA
Source: RNAcentral
AAGGACGUGCUAAUCUGCGAUAAGCGCCGGUAAGGUGAUAUGAACCGUUAUAACCGGCGAUUUCCGAAUGGGGAAACCCAGUGUGACUCGUCACACUAUCAUUAACUGAAUCCAUAGGUUAAUGAGGCGAACCGGGGGAACUGAAACAUCUAAGUACCCCGAGGAAAAGAAAUCAACCGAGAUUCCCCCAGUAGCGGCGAGCGAACGGGGAGGAGCCCAGAGCCUGAAUCAGCAUGUGUGUUAGUGGAAGCGUCUGGAAAGGCGCGCGAUACAGGGUGACAGCCCCGUACACAAAAGCGCAUGUGCUGUGAGCUCGAUGAGUAGGGCGGGACACGUGGUAUCCUGUCUGAAUAUGGGGGGACCAUCCUCCAAGGCUAAAUACUCCUGACUGACCGAUAGUGAACCAGUACCGUGAGGGAAAGGCGAAAAGAACCCCGGCGAGGGGAGUGAAAAAGAACCUGAAACCGUGUACGUACAAGCAGUGGGAGCCCCACCACUAAGCCAGUGGUGAACUCCACAUACGCAUCCUUUGCUGAGGAUACGGUUAACGGAGCGAAAGCGACGUUCAACCGCAAAAGAAGCAGAGGGGGCUUAGUGGUGGGGUGACUGCGUACCUUUUGUAUAAUGGGUCAGCGACUUAUAUUCUGUAGCAAGGUUAACCGUAUAGGGGAGCCGCAGGGAAACCGAGUCUUAACCGGGCGUUAAGUUGCAGGGUAUAGACCCGAAACCCGGUGAUCUAGCCAUGGGCAGGUUGAAGGUUGGGUAACACUAACUGGAGGACCGAACCGACUAAUGUUGAAAAAUUAGCGGAUGACCUGUGGCUGGGGGUGAAAGGCCAAUCAAACCGGGAGAUAGCUGGUUCUCCCCGAAAGCUAUUUAGGUAGCGCCUCGUGAACUCAUCUCCGGGGGUAGAGCACUGUUUCGGCUAGGGGGCCAUCCCGGCUUACCAACCCGAUGCAAACUGCGAAUACCGGAGAAUGUUAUCACGGGAGACACACGGCGGGUGCUAACGUCCGUCGUGAAGAGGGAAACAACCCAGACCGCCAGCUAAGGUCCCAAAGUCAUGGUUAAGUGGGAAACGAUGUGGGAAGGCCCAGACAGCCAGGAUGUUGGCUUAGAAGCAGCCAUCAUUUAAAGAAAGCGUAAUAGCUCACUGGUCGAGUCGGCCUGCGCGGAAGAUGUAACGGGGCUAAACCAUGCACCGAAGCUGCGGCAGCGACACUAUGUGUUGUUGGGUAGGGGAGCGUUCUGUAAGCCUGUGAAGGUGGCCUGUGAGGGUUGCUGGAGGUAUCAGAAGUGCGAAUGCUGACAUAAGUAACGAUAAAGCGGGUGAAAAGCCCGCUCGCCGGAAGACCAAGGGUUCCUGUCCAACGUUAAUCGGGGCAGGGUGAGUCGACCCCUAAGGCGAGGCCGAAAGGCGUAGUCGAUGGGAAACGGGUUAAUAUUCCCGUACUUGGUGUUACUGCGAAGGGGGGACGGAGAAGGCUAUGUUGGCCGGGCGACGGUUGUCCCGGUUUAAGCGUGUAGGUGUGUGUUCCAGGUAAAUCCGGUUCACUUUAACACUGAGGCGUGAUGACGAGGCACUACGGUGCUGAAGCAACAAAUGCCCUGCUUCCAGGAAAAGCCUCUAAGCAUCAGGUAACAUCAAAUCGUACCCCAAACCGACACAGGUGGUCAGGUAGAGAAUACCAAGGCGCUUGAGAGAACUCGGGUGAAGGAACUAGGCAAAAUGGUGCCGUAACUUCGGGAGAAGGCACGCUGACAUGUAGGUGAAGUGAUUUACUCAUGGAGCUGAAGUCAGUCGAAGAUACCAGCUGGCUGCAACUGUUUAUUAAAAACACAGCACUGUGCAAACACGAAAGUGGACGUAUACGGUGUGACGCCUGCCCGGUGCCGGAAGGUUAAUUGAUGGGGUCAGCGCAAGCGAAGCUCCUGAUCGAAGCCCCGGUAAACGGCGGCCGUAACUAUAACGGUCCUAAGGUAGCGAAAUUCCUUGUCGGGUAAGUUCCGACCUGCACGAAUGGCGUAAUGAUGGCCAGGCUGUCUCCACCCGAGACUCAGUGAAAUUGAACUCGCUGUGAAGAUGCAGUGUACCCGCGGCAAGACGGAAAGACCCCGUGAACCUUUACUAUAGCUUGACACUGAACAUUGAGCCUUGAUGUGUAGGAUAGGUGGGAGGCUUUGAAGUGUGGACGCCAGUCUGCAUGGAGCCGACCUUGAAAUACCACCCUUUAAUGUUUGAUGUUCUAACGUGGACCCGUAAUCCGGGUUGCGGACAGUGUCUGGUGGGUAGUUUGACUGGGGCGGUCUCCUCCUAAAGAGUAACGGAGGAGCACGAAGGUUGGCUAAUCCUGGUCGGACAUCAGGAGGUUAGUGCAAUGGCAUAAGCCAGCUUGACUGCGAGCGUGACGGCGCGAGCAGGUGCGAAAGCAGGUCAUAGUGAUCCGGUGGUUCUGAAUGGAAGGGCCAUCGCUCAACGGAUAAAAGGUACUCCGGGGAUAACAGGCUGAUACCGCCCAAGAGUUCAUAUCGACGGCGGUGUUUGGCACCUCGAUGUCGGCUCAUCACAUCCUGGGGCUGAAGUAGGUCCCAAGGGUAUGGCUGUUCGCCAUUUAAAGUGGUACGCGAGCUGGGUUUAGAACGUCGUGAGACAGUUCGGUCCCUAUCUGCCGUGGGCGCUGGAGAACUGAGGGGGGCUGCUCCUAGUACGAGAGGACCGGAGUGGACGCAUCACUGGUGUUCGGGUUGUCAUGCCAAUGGCACUGCCCGGUAGCUAAAUGCGGAAGAGAUAAGUGCUGAAAGCAUCUAAGCACGAAACUUGCCCCGA